Molecule: ribosomal RNA, 484 nt
Filed under: uncultured bacterium
Lineage: Bacteria
Description: partial 16S ribosomal RNA
Rfam family: Bacterial small subunit ribosomal RNA
Source: RNAcentral
AUUGAACGCUGGCGGCAGGCCUAACACAUGCAAGUCGAGCGGAUGAAGGGAGCUUGCUCCUGGAUUCAGCGGCGGACGGGUGAGUAAUGCCUAGGAAUCUGCCUGGUAGUGGGGGAUAACGUCCGGAAACGGGCGCUAAUACCGCAUACGUCCUGAUGGCGCAAGUGGGUGAUCUUCGGACCUCACGCUAUCAUAUUAGCCUAGGUCGGAUUAGCUAGUUGGUGGGGUAAAGGCCUACCAAGGCGACGAUCCGUAACUGGUCUGAGAGGAUGAUCAGUCAGACUGGAACUGAGAAACGGCAGAGACUCCUACGGGAGGCAGCAGUGGGGAAUAUUGGGCAAUGGGGGAAAGCCGGAUACAGCCAUGCCGGGGGUGGGAAGAAGGUCUUAGGAUUGUAAAGCAAUUUAAGUUGGGAGGAAGGGAAGUAAGUUAAUACCGUGCGGUUUUGACGUUACCAACAGAAUAAGCACCGGCUAACUUCGUG